Molecule: ribosomal RNA, 438 nt
Filed under: uncultured bacterium
Lineage: Bacteria
Description: partial 16S ribosomal RNA
Rfam family: Bacterial small subunit ribosomal RNA
Source: RNAcentral
CUACGGGGCGCUGCAGUGGGGGAUAUUGCACAAUGGGCGAAAGCCUGAUGCAGCAACGCCGCGUGAAGGAAGACGGUUUUCGGAUUGUAAACUUCUAUCAGCAGGGAAGAAAAUGACUGUACCUGACUAAGAAGUCCCGGCUAACUCCGUGCCAGCAGCCGCGGUAAUACGGAGGGGACUAGCGUUGUUCGGAAUUACUGGGCGUAAAGAGUUCGUAGGCGGACUGACAAGUUAGAGGUGAAAUCCCAGGGCUCAACCCUGGAACUGCCUUUAAAACUGUCAGUCUAGAGACCGGAAGAGGUUAGGGGAAUACCUAGUGUAGAGGUGAAAUUCGUAGAUAUUAGGUGGAACACCAGUGGCGAAGGCGCCUAACUGGUCCGGUACUGACGCUGAGGAACGAAAGCGUGGGAGCAAACAGGAUUAGAUACCCCUGUAGUC